This is a long non-coding RNA of Monodelphis domestica (gray short-tailed opossum), 2518 nucleotides long. RefSeq lists it as uncharacterized. Lineage: Eukaryota; Metazoa; Chordata; Mammalia; Didelphimorphia; Didelphidae. The record is from RefSeq and is a predicted model, not a curated record.
UCUUGCAUGUUCGGACUCUUGGUUCGCGCUCACGCUUAACACCGACUGAAUGAACUGAGGUGGCAUACUGGGGACGCGGACUGUGCCCAGCCAGGAAUGACCUCUUCAGGCCUCCGAUUCUGGCUCAGAGCAGCAGAGACCAAUUUCGUCAAGGCCUUCGUCUGGACAAGGGCUCACGCGACCCAACCUAGCCUUCCUGGCCUGGCUGGACUAUGAAGGGACAGUCCUCCCAGCUGCUUCUGGCCCCUACUCAGGGGGGCACAUCCUCCAUGCCCACCUACCCCCACAUGCCUCAAGGGUUCUCCCCAGAGUCCUGCCCUCAACCAUAAUGAAUGGAGGAAUGAACACUGCUGAGGUCCUGGAUUCUCGCUGGGCCUCCUCUCUGCCAGUGUGUCAUUUCUGCAAUGGGUGGAGCUUCUGCAGAGAGAAGGUGGUGGGCCAAAGGCAGAGCCCCAGCCCCAUCCCGAUCCCCAGAGGGACCUCAGAAUUGUUGGUGUUUCCACGGGCCGCCUCCGGGACAAUGACUUUUGCUCAGCUGGUACCCUGAAGCAUCCCCUCCAAUCUCCGUGAUGUCUGUUUCAAACUACAAAAUGCUGGACUUGGCUGCCCCCCCCCCCUCUAUUUACCAAGAAAGUUCUAGCGGAUGGCAUUCCACACAUCUCUCUACCAAACCUAGACUGUUGCCCUUCGGGGAUGGCCACAGAAGCUGAAAUACACUCCAGAGCUCUGUUUGCUUCAGGGGGUGGGGGCCACAUUCAGAGCCCAUCUUUCCUCCUCCAAGCCAGACCGGGAUUCCAGCAUCGGGAUCCCACUUUCCCCUGCUUCUUCAGUUGUGGAAAGGCUGGAGGGCAUCCUCUGAAAUGCAUCCAGUCUUUGGCAAGAGAAGAAAGGAGGCAAAAACCAGUUUCUGAGCCACAGGCAGACCCCCAUCAUCUUCUCAAUGAAGAACUUGUAAUUGAUGGUGUUGACAUGAGGUCCUACAGGAAAAUGCCCUCUGCCCACUGGGGCUCCCAGCCAUGCCCAGAAGGCUCCAUGAUGUCAGCUGCAAAACAGUCAACAAUCACAUGUACCCACCCCUAAACACUGAGACCCUAAAGUGACUCUUGUAAUCCAAGAGAUGAGUUUUGGCCCCAAUCUAGGCCAAUAUCCUUCGACUUCCCCCUCUUUCCCCUGAACAGACUUCGACGAGGGCUUUCUCUUGAUCAGCUCUCCCCAGAUCCUCACAACCUCCAGGACCCUCCGUUUGAAAGUGGAGCCCAUUGUCCUGGUUCUCUCCCCUCUUGAUUGUUACUUACAGUGGAGACUUGUUCGGACACUUCUGGAAACACAAACAUAAUCAGAUAUCAGAGGUGGUCCUCACGAUCCCAAAAGGGCAUUUGCAGCUGUUUGGUGUGAUGGCGAGACCUUGGCUGGAAUCACCACAGUGCCUGCUUUAAAGGGAACAGUUACCUCGGCCACAGAUGUUCUGGGUUUAUAAAGGCAGGAGGACAGAGUUCAGAGCUCCAAAGAGUGAGGAAUGGAGCACUUAUUCACAUAUCUGGCUCCUCCACUCCUGUGUGUCCCCAGGUGGCAGAAUGGUGAGAAUAUGGCCAUGGAUCUUUAGUGAGAAAAUUGGUGUGAUUCAGACUUGGCUCACUGACUAAUGACUGUGGUCAGACCUAAAAAGUAACCUGUAUCCAGUGGAGUACAGGGUAACAGUGAAUAAAUAACUAGAGGGAUUACAAAAGAGUUCUUUGAGCCCUUUUCUACCCCCUGAUCCUUCUUCAAGCACAACCAUUCUCACCUUCAUAAAGGGAAGAUUAGAACCCUGGAAGCUCUCAGUGCUGUGCUUCUAGAAGGAAAGAGCCCAUCUUGGGGAAGAGGCUGUGGCAUUUUCUGCUCAUGGUGAGGAGGUCGGGGACUACUUGUUAAUGAUUUCUGUGCGAAAGAAAUGAAUAGGGAAGGCUACUGAGUGACUGUGGAAACUAUGGGAGUCCAUGGACUGAGACUGGACGAUGUGAUUGUCUGUGGGGGAUGUCUGAUCUUCCUUUAUUGCAGGUAGAAUUUGGGGCAGGAGCAAGGCAUGGAAGCCAGAGAGUAAAGUCCUUGUUUCACAAAAAGGGUGUUUCCCUGUUACAUGUAUAAAGGAAUUAAAUGUACUCUUCACGAACCUCGUCUCCAACUGCUGAAGCAGACACAUUUCCAUCUGCUCACAACAUGUUCCCAUGCGUAAUAUCCCUCCAGGCUGUGUGUGGUCAGGGAUGCUCCUACUGAAGCCCAAGGGCCAGAAACCUACUGGCUGUACUCCAUGAAGAGAUUUUCCCACAAGACCUAUGGAAAGUGAGGAUUUCUCCAGAAUUUCUUCAACAUUCUCCACCUUGGAACAGACCUGGUUAUGGACAAUAGCAUCAGCUCACAGUGUGUUUUCUUUUAUCUUUAGAUUCAGGAGUGGAAUAGGACUCCCUUUGGAAGUACAAAUGCUAAUAGACCUUUAAGGUCAAUGAUCUCAGGGAGCAAUAAAGCCUUUCUACCUAAAUAA